CACUGAGGCACGAAGGCCAGGGGAGCAAACGAGAUUAGAUACCCCGGUAGUCCUGGCAGUAAACGGUGCACGUAUGGUGUGAGAGGAUUCGACCCCUUUCUCGCCGGAGCUAACGCGUUAAACGUGCCCCCUGGGGAGUACGGUCGCAAGAUUAAGACUCAAAGAAAUUGACGGGGGCCCGCACAAGCGGUGGAGUAUGUGGCUUAAUUCGAUGCAACGCGAAGAACCUUACCUGGCCCUGACAUGUAUCUCUAAGCACGUGAAAGCGUGUGAGUGUCGAAUGACACAAUUUACACAGGUGAUGCAUGGCUGUCGUCAGCUCGUGUCGUGAGAUGUUGGGUUAAGUCCUGCAUCGAGCGCAACCCGUGUGAGUUGUUGCCACGUCCUUGAUUGGACAGUCACUAUGUUCAGAGUGCCCUGUGAAACGGGGAGGAAGGUGGGGAGGAAGUCAAGUCAGUAUGGCCCUUCCGGCCAGGGCUGCACACGUACUACAAUGCCCAGUACAGAAAGAUCGGAGACCGGGAGGUGGAGGAAAUCUAGUUAAACUGGGCCCAGUUGGGAUUGGAGGAUGUCAACUCGCCUCCAUGAAGCAGGAAUAGCUAGUAAUACUGUAUCAGCUACGACGGCGUGAAUACGUUCCCGGGCCUUGUACACACCGCCCGUCACAUCAUGGAAGUCACUGGUAGCCGAAGUGCACGCGCCAACCCGCAAGGGGAGCAGUGCCCUACGCUAUGAUCGGUAACUGGGAUGAAGUCGUAACAAGGUACCAAUCCCGCGG
RNAcentral lists this ribosomal RNA (778 nucleotides) under uncultured Verrucomicrobiota bacterium. Its description in RNAcentral is "bacterial SSU rRNA". It matches the Rfam family "Bacterial small subunit ribosomal RNA", at positions 744 to 1510 of the family's 1533-position model. The record is from RNAcentral. Lineage: Bacteria; Pseudomonadati; Verrucomicrobiota.